UACGGAGGGAGCUAGCGUUGUUCGGAAUUACUGGGCGUAAAGCGCACGUAGGCGGCUAUUCAAGUCAGAGGUGAAAGCCUGGAGCUCAACUCCAGAACUGCCUUUGAAACUAGAUAGCUUGAAUCCAGGAGAGGUGAGUGGAAUUCCGAGUGUAGAGGUGAAAUUCGUAGAUAUUCGCAAGAACACCAGUGGCGAAGGCGGCUCACUGGCCCGGUACUGACGCUGAGGUGCGAAAGCGUGGGGAGCAAACAGG
RNAcentral lists this ribosomal RNA (253 nucleotides) under uncultured bacterium. RNAcentral's name for it is "partial 16S ribosomal RNA". It matches the Rfam family "Bacterial small subunit ribosomal RNA", at positions 524 to 776 of the family's 1533-position model. The record is from RNAcentral.